GAUAUGUGGUAACGUCAGGUCUGAUUGCUGUUUCUUCAAAUAUACUAGCAGGGUUAAAAACUGCGGAACAUUUUAUGUAUAUGAGCUCAAGCCUAUACCAGGAUGCUCCUUGGCCUAUUGUGCAGGCACUGGCGUUCCAUGUCCUCCCCACCAGUCGUCUGCAACAGACUACCAGCCAGGAUGUAAAGACGACGGAAAUAGUUCAGUCAUUACUGGGAGAAAGAGACGAGACAUAGCCUAGACUUACUUCUCCUACUGGAUAACAGAUUCCAAACAGCUACUAUUAUUCGAAGUUUGAAGUAUAUCCAGAUACAUGUACCUGAAAUCGAAUUUCCACUGAUACUUAUAACUAAUUACAAAAUAAUACGCUAGCAAAAACAAUAUUUAGUUUGUUAGUGUACAAUUUUUAUCAUUCAUGCAGACAUUACGUAAAGCAAAUACUAAACGAUUCAAUCCUUACAUGUUUCUCGAUUUAUGAUCCAGGAUUUGUUUCAUUUUGUGCCCUUUAUAUAACAAAACAGUGUUAAUAAAAUAACUUCCAACGAAGGGAAUCCCUUACAUAUGUAAAUAUAACAAUUAUGACAAAUAUGCUCGUGUAAGAUAUGCUGAUCAAAACACGUAUUACCCAAUAACUGUAGAAACCCAACAUAAUAAAGAGGCAUGAUUAAGCAGGGCAAGAGACAAUUAUCAAUUCAGUCCGUCCCUUAAAGUCGACUUAAAGUUCUCAACCUGUCCCGUCAUCAAAAAGCGUAGUAAUGAUCUAUAAAAGACCUGAAUAUGAAACAUGUUUUGUGUUUCAGAAAAAUAUGGACGUAGCCGCCAGCAGUUUUUAUAAUAUUUGAUAUUUUUAUGAAAAAUGAUCGGAAAUAGCUAUUCCCGAGAAUUUUACGGUCGCCGUUUCUUUAGAUUACUUUUAAAUGUAAUCACUAAUUGAUAAAAUUUUGGCAAACGAAGAAGGUUUUGAUUACUAUUGCCGUUUGGUAAAUUCAAAGUUAGGAGUUUAUAUUUAUUAUUAAGGUUCAUUUUUGCAUUGCGAAUUUUAUUAAUAAGUAUGAGAAGACAAGAGAGG
Molecule: long non-coding RNA, 1069 nt
Organism: Mercenaria mercenaria
Lineage: Eukaryota; Metazoa; Mollusca; Bivalvia; Venerida; Veneridae
Exons: 3
Source: RefSeq, a predicted model, not a curated record